UAGAGAGAUAACUCAUAGUCAACAGC
Molecule: non-coding RNA, 26 nt
Filed under: Bombyx mori (domestic silkworm)
Lineage: Eukaryota; Metazoa; Arthropoda; Insecta; Lepidoptera; Bombycidae
Source: RNAcentral